RNAcentral lists this long non-coding RNA (222 nucleotides) under Setaria italica (foxtail millet). Its description in RNAcentral is "long non-coding RNA (SITA_LNC000328)". Lineage: Eukaryota; Viridiplantae; Streptophyta; Magnoliopsida; Poales; Poaceae. The record is from RNAcentral.
UGGAUCAGCCGCCCAUCUUCUUGUCUUCAGAACCUCUUCAUAUUCGAUAUUGAGUUUGGAACCAUCAUUUACAUCUAGUAAUUCAGUACUUGUUCUACUUGUUCUUGCUAGGUCUUCGAUUGCUUGCAGAACGAGUGCCCUAGUGGUCGGGGUGUCGCGCUCUACAAGAUCGCGGCAGCCAUUGGAGGUGGUGUAUCAGUUGCUAUGGCGCAACAUCUUUAG